AGAGUUUGAUCAUGGCUCAGGAUGAACGCUGGCGGCGUGCUUAACACAUGCAAGUCGAACGAGAAUCAACGGAUUGAGGAUUCGUCCAAAUGAAGUUGAGGAAAGUGGCGGACGGGUGAGUAACGCGUGAGGAACCUGCCUUGGAGUGGGGAAUAACACAACGAAAGCUGUGCUAAUACCGCAUGAUGCAAUUAUCUCGCAUGAGAUUGGUUGCCAAAGAUUUAUCGCUCUGAGAUGGCCUCGCGUCUGAUUAGCUAGUAGGCGGGGUAACAGCCCACCUAGGCGACGAUCAGUAGCCGG
This 300-nucleotide ribosomal RNA is filed under the name uncultured bacterium. RNAcentral's name for it is "bacterial SSU rRNA". It matches the Rfam family "Bacterial small subunit ribosomal RNA", at positions 8 to 290 of the family's 1533-position model. The record is from RNAcentral.